UACGAAGGGGGCUAGCGUUGCUCGGAAUCACUGGGCGUAAAGCGCACGUAGGCGGGUUGUUAAGUCGGGGGUGAAAUCCUGGAGCUCAACUCCAGAACUGCCUUCGAUACUGGCGAUCUUGAGUCCGGGAGAGGUGAGUGGAACUCCGAGUGUAGAGGUGAAAUUCGUAGAUAUUCGGAAGAACACCAGUGGCGAAGGCGGCUCACUGGCCCGGUACUGACGCUGAGGUGCGAAAGCGUGGGGAGCAAACAGG
RNAcentral lists this ribosomal RNA (253 nucleotides) under uncultured bacterium. RNAcentral describes it as "partial 16S ribosomal RNA". It matches the Rfam family "Bacterial small subunit ribosomal RNA", at positions 524 to 776 of the family's 1533-position model. The record is from RNAcentral.